AAAAAAGAACAUGUUUCCUUUUGUGAACUAGAUUCUCUUAAACUUCAGCAAAAUUACCCGUGCAUUGUUCUUGGGUGAACCUCUGUAUUUUAUUGGUACCUGAAGGCUCAGUAAAUGAUGCUACAUUU
Hibiscus syriacus is the source of this 128-nucleotide small nucleolar RNA. RefSeq annotates it as small nucleolar RNA snoR74. The transcript has a single exon. The record is from RefSeq and is a predicted model, not a curated record. Lineage: Eukaryota; Viridiplantae; Streptophyta; Magnoliopsida; Malvales; Malvaceae.